CUGGGCCCCUCUUCUUUUGGGUUAACAGGUUUUCUUUGGGACCGUGGCUUCUCGGUUCCUUAUAUAAGGCAGCAAGUUUUUUUUUUUUAGGGUACUGUGAGGAAGGACCCCGAUCGCCGCCCCCUGCUCUCUUGCUCUCGGUCUUUUGCUCUUGGUGUUCCAGCUUCAAAAGACAUCUUCUUCCGCUCGCUGGGGACUCUUCAUCUUCAGCCACUACUCCUCACAGUGGGCCUCUUGUUUCCGUGAACCCUCUUUCUUCUUUGCUGUUCACAGCAUAUGCAACAAGGGAAGGCACUUGCUGCCGAACCACGUAAAUCUGGUAUCUUUGUGCUUGUCUAUUCAUGCCUGUGAUGUGUUUGGUGAAAUGUCUGAAUGAGAGUAACUGUUAAUUGUUAAGCCGGAUAGAUUAAUUAAUGUGCCCAAGUAAUCACAACACUUAUCACCAGUAGCCUCAGACAAUUGAGAUAACUAUCAGUGCCACCAAAGGCAGCUACACUUGAACAUGAUACAAGGGUAGA
This 518-nucleotide long non-coding RNA is filed under the name Phoenix dactylifera (date palm). RNAcentral describes it as "long non-coding RNA (PDAC_LNC022038)". Lineage: Eukaryota; Viridiplantae; Streptophyta; Magnoliopsida; Arecales; Arecaceae. The record is from RNAcentral.